RNAcentral lists this transfer RNA (71 nucleotides) under Cubamyces sp. BRFM 1775. RNAcentral describes it as "Leiotrametes sp. BRFM 1775 tRNA-Gly". It matches the Rfam family "tRNA". Rfam says of the family: Transfer RNA (tRNA) molecules are approximately 80 nucleotides in length. Their secondary structure includes four short double-helical elements and three loops (D, anti-codon, and T loops). Lineage: Eukaryota; Fungi; Basidiomycota; Agaricomycetes; Polyporales; Polyporaceae. The record is from RNAcentral.
GCGUUCGUGGUGUAGCGGUAACAUUGGGUCUUCCCAUGGCCUAGCUCCGGGUUCGACUCCCGGCGGAUGCA